Molecule: long non-coding RNA, 942 nt
Filed under: Homo sapiens (human)
Lineage: Eukaryota; Metazoa; Chordata; Mammalia; Primates; Hominidae
Description: HSALNT0299296
Source: RNAcentral
UCAUAUUAUCUGUUCAUUCAUCAAAUAUGUAUUGGGCUAGAUCCUGUGCCAGGGCUGGACAUACAAUGCUAAGAAAGUAAAAUUCCCCGCCCUCAUGGAGAAUAACAUUCUUCACAGAGUUUGUGGGGAACAGACUCCCUCCAGUACCUUGUGUUUCUCAAGUCUUAAACUCAUCCUCUGCUCUGGAUUUAAAAGCAAAAGUGGCAUCUCCGGGUCUCUCAUGUAAUAUUUGGAGGAACAUUACACUUCCCAUGUAUAUUUCAUGCCUCUUUCCCAAGAUUUUACUGCUGCUUCUAAGGCAGCUAACAGUAGGUAGGAAACUUUGACCUCUCUUUCACUUUGCCCCUUUAGGACCUCCAGUUUUAGACUUCAUCAAGCAAGCCUGGUUUCAUUUCUUCUUGCUUAGCCUGAUGAACCAGUGUGCUGUACACCACUGUUGGAAACACUGGUACAAAGUUCUGGUACAGAACUCUUUCUGAAUAUUAAUCUCCUGUAUUGCUAUGCCAGAAUCAGAUUCUCCAGAGAAAGAACUUCUAUAUGGAAAGAGGCAGAUUGCUGGAAGGAGUAAAUAAUUCACAGACAACUCAUAAGCCCUGAGCUCUGGUCUGUCUCUGCCAAUUAAAUGCUGUGGAACUUUUGGAAAUGAAGAUGAGAUAAAGGCUUUUCAUACCAACAAAAGUGGAAAGAAUUCAUCAUAAGAAGACUUGAGUGAGAAGAAAUGCUAAGAAAGCUCUUCAAGUAGAAGAAAAUGAUACCAGAUGGAAAUCUGGAUCUCCACAAAGGAACAAAAAGUAUUGAGAAUGGGAACUAUCCUAUGUGGACUUUAUUCAUAAUAACCAAUCCUGAGGGAAAAUCUAUAAUGUUCGUCAAAAGAAGGAAAUCCUGGCUGUGCCUAUAAUCACAGCAUUCUGGGAGGCCAAGGCAGGAGGAUCACUUGAGCCC